CCUACGGGAGGCAGCAGUAGGGAAUAUUGCUCAAUGGGGGAAACCCUGAAGCAGCAACGCCGCGUGGAGGAUGAAGGUUUUCGGAUUGUAAACCUCUUUUGUUAGAGAAGAAAAUGACGGUACCUAACGAAUAAGCACCGGCUAACUACGUGCCAGCAGCCGCGGUAAUACGGAGGGUGCAAGCGUUACGCGGAAUCACUGGGCGUAAAGAGCGCGUAGGCGGGUUAGCAAGUCAGUUGUGAAAUCCUAUGGCUUAACCGUAAAACUGCAUUUGAAACUGUUAUUCUAGAGUAUAGGAGAGGUAGGUGGAAUUCGUGGUGUAGGGGUAAAAUGCGUAGAGAUCAAGAAGAAUUCUCAUUGCGAAGGCGACCUGCUAGAACAUAACUGACGCUGAUGCGCGAAAGUGUGGGGAGCAAACAGGAUUAGAUACCCCAGUAGUC
Molecule: ribosomal RNA, 440 nt
Filed under: uncultured bacterium
Lineage: Bacteria
Description: partial 16S ribosomal RNA
Rfam family: Bacterial small subunit ribosomal RNA
Source: RNAcentral